AGAGCGAACGCUGGCGGCAGGCCUAACACAUGCAAGUCGAGCGCCCGUAGCAAUACGGGAGCGGCAGACGGGAUAGUAACACGUGGGAACGCGCCCUUCGGUUCGGAAUAACUCAGGGAAACUUGAGCUAAUACCGGAUACGCCCUUACGGGGAAAGAUUUAUUGCCGAAGGAACGGCCCGCGUCCGAUUAGCUAGUUGGUGAGGUAAUGGCUCACCAAGGCGACGAUCGGUAGCUGGUCUGAGAGGAUGACCAGCAUCACUGGGACUGAGACACGGCCCAGACUCCUACGGGAGGCAGCAGUGGGGAAUAUUGGACAAUGGGCGCAAGCCUGAUCCAGCCAUGCCGCGUGGAUGAUGAAGGCCUUAGGGUUGUAAAGUCCUUUUAACGGGGAAGAUAAGUGACGGUACCCGUAGAAUAAGCCCCGGCUAACUUCGCGCCAGCAGCCAC
This 449-nucleotide ribosomal RNA is filed under the name uncultured bacterium. Its description in RNAcentral is "SSU rRNA". It matches the Rfam family "Bacterial small subunit ribosomal RNA", at positions 26 to 518 of the family's 1533-position model. The record is from RNAcentral.